CGGGCCCUAAAGGCAGCGGCGGCACCGCGUCCGGUCCUGGAGCGUAUGGGGCUCUGUCACCCGCUCUUGGAGGCCCGGCCGGCGCCCGCCGACCCCCCAAUCUUCUUCUAGGUUGAUCUCGGAUCAGGUAGGGAUACCCGCUGAACUUAAGCAUAUCAAUAAGCGGAGGAAAAGAAACCAACAGGGAUUGCCCUAGUAACGGCGAGUGAAGCGGCAAGAGCUCAAAUUUGAAAGCUGGCCCCCUCGGGGUCCGCGUUGUAAUUUGCAGAGGAUGCUUCGGGAGCGGCCCCCGUCUAAGUGCCCUGGAACGGGCCGUCAUAGAGGGUGAGAAUCCCGUAUGGGAUGGGGUGCCCGCGCCCGUGUGAAGCUCCUUCGACGAGUCGAGUUGUUUGGGAAUGCAGCUCUAAAUGGGUGGUAAAUUUCAUCUAAAGCUAAAUAUUGGCCGGAGACCGAUAGCGCACAAGUAGAGUGAUCGAAAGAUGAAAAGCACUUUGAAAAGAGAGUUAAACAGCACGUGAAAUUGUUGAAAGGGAAGCGCUUGCGACCAGACUCGCCCGCGGGGUUCAGCCGGCACUCGUGCCGGUGUACUUCCCCGCGGGCGGGCCAGCGUCGGUUUGGGCGGCCGGUCAAAGGCCCCUGGAAGGUAACGCCCCCCCGGGGGCGUCUUAUAGCCAGGGGUGCCAUGCGGCCUGCCCGGACCGA
RNAcentral lists this ribosomal RNA (702 nucleotides) under Penicillium ochrosalmoneum. RNAcentral describes it as "eukaryotic LSU rRNA". The stretch from base 114 to 702 matches the Rfam family "Eukaryotic large subunit ribosomal RNA", at positions 1 to 594 of the family's 3401-position model. Lineage: Eukaryota; Fungi; Ascomycota; Eurotiomycetes; Eurotiales; Aspergillaceae. The record is from RNAcentral.